AGGAUGAACGCUGGCGGCGUGCCUAAUACAUGCAAGUCGAACGAGGUGCUUUUGUAGUAAUACGAGAGUAUCCUAGUGGCGAACGGGUGAGUAACGCGUUGGUGACCUACCCCAAAGUGUGGGAUAACAGUCCGAAAGGAUUGCUAAUACCGCAUGUGGUUAUAGGAUUUAGAAACCGAUAACUAAAGGAGCUAAUUCGCGUUUGGGAGGACCCUGCGUCCCAUCAGCUAGUUGGUGAGGUAAUGGCUCACCAAGGCGUACGACGGGUAGGGGACCUGAGAGGGUCGACCCCCACAAUGGAACUGAAACACGGUCCAUACACCGUACGGUGCAGCGAGUAGGAAUACUGCACAAGUGGGACGAAAGCCUAGA
RNAcentral lists this ribosomal RNA (372 nucleotides) under uncultured soil bacterium. Its description in RNAcentral is "bacterial SSU rRNA". It matches the Rfam family "Bacterial small subunit ribosomal RNA", at positions 26 to 386 of the family's 1533-position model. The record is from RNAcentral.